UGAAACACAAUGUGAAGUGAAUUAUAUUUAUAUAGCGCUUUUCUCUAGUGACUCAAAGAGCUUUACAUAGUGAAACCCAAUAUCAAAGUUCCAUUUAAAGCAGUGUGGGUGGCACUGGGAGCAGGUGGGUAAAGUGUCUUGCCCAAGGACACAACAGCAGUGACUAGGAUGGCGGAAACGGGGAUCGAACCUGGGACCCUCAAGUUGCUGGCACGGCCACUCUACCAACCGAGCUAAACCGCCUGUCUCUCUUCACUUUCUAUAAACUACUUGGACAUCACUAACUCUCACAAUCGGUGAUAAGCUAAUGUGUAGUUUGUAAUAUUUACAAUUAAUUAGUUAAUUAAUUAAUCAAUAAUUUAUGUUAGCUACCUCUCUUUGUUUAUAAUGUAUAUUUUCUGCUGGAUCUACUCUUUAUGUUAUGCUGCGGCUGUCACAUAUACUGUAAUAGUGUACAUGGUUAUUGGGAUUUGUUUUAUAUUGUAUAUAUUAUCUAAUAAUAUACUGUGGCCCUGCCAUGAGGUGGCGACUUGUCCAGGGUGUAUGCCGCCUUCCGCCCAAUUGUAGCUGAGAUAGGCACCAGCACCCCCCGCCCCCUUAAAGCGGUAGAAAAUGGAUUGAUGGAUAAUAUACUGUAUAUAUAAAAUGUAAAUAUUACAUGUGUGUGAAGAGGCGCAGCCGGCACGCUGGAGCCCUGCCCAAGAUGGCGGCAAGGAGGCGGAGAAUGCGGCUGAGCGGAGGGGCGGGGCGUGCCGGAAGCGACGCUACGAGCGAGAUCAGGGGCGAAGGAGGAGAAAAGGGCAGAAGGAGUUGGAGAGCCUGCAGCAGUGGAUGAGGAGCGAAAGCAACAAACAGCAGACAAGGACGACGACGACGACUGAAAAGCAGACCGGGAACGAGCAGUGGAGGAAGGAGCUUAAAAGCGAUCCGAACUGCAGCCAAGUGUUAUUGCAAAAUAAAGAAGUCAAACCUGCUCAAGCGAUCAUGUCCUUCCUGAGUGGUCCAUGGAACCCGAGCGACAGGGAAAGUCGUUCACAAUGUGUUAUAUUGGUAAUACGGUACAUUUUUAGUCUUCUUUACACCUUUUGUUUUCGCCCACUUUUUGUGCCCCUUGUGCGCAUUAUCCUUUCCAUCCUUUGUAACUGAGCUACUGUGUGGAACAAUUUCCCUUGUGGAUCAAUAAAGUUUGUCUAAGUCUAAGUCUAAAUAGCGAGUAACAUCUUUUUAUAAAAAAGGUGAACAGUUGCCUUUGUAGUAGACAAUUUCUGUCCUAGAGUUACCUCUAAAUUUAAUGCAUUGGGAAGGACACAACAUAAGAUGCAAUCUGUUAAUAUAAGUUGUGAUGCUACAAAUCAGACCAUCAUGGAGUGUAUGAAUAAGAAGGGAAGACCAAGCCUGGUUUGCGCUCUUAUUAAUUCCUUUCACGAGGGUUCACCAUCUUUCGUCUCAUGAGACACUGUCUGUAAUCAUAUCGAUUCAAUCCAACUUUGUACCAUCUGAUUAUGAGUAAAUAAACUCCUGUAACAAAUUC
This is a long non-coding RNA of Nerophis ophidion (straightnose pipefish), 1531 nucleotides long. RefSeq lists it as uncharacterized. The transcript is spliced from 2 exons. The record is from RefSeq and is a predicted model, not a curated record. Lineage: Eukaryota; Metazoa; Chordata; Actinopteri; Syngnathiformes; Syngnathidae.